GAUGAACGCUGGCGGCGUGCCUAAUACAUGCAAGUCGAGCGAACAGAUGAGGAGCUUGCUCCUCUGACGUUAGCGGCGGACGGGUGAGUAACACGUGGAUAACCUACCUAUAAGACUGGGAUAACUUCGGGAAACCGGAGCUACUACCGGAUAAUAUAUUGAACCGCAUGGUUCAAUAGUGAAAGACGGUUUUGCUGUCACUUAUAGAUGGAUCCGCACCGCAUUAGCUAGUUGGUAAGGUAACGGCUUACCAAGGCAACGAUGCGUAGCCGACCUGAGGGGUGGAUCGGCCACACGGAAACUGAGACACGGUCCAGACUCCUACGGGAGGCAGCAGUAGGAAAACUGCCGCAAGGGGCGAAAGCCUGACGAAGCAACGCGGCGUGGGUGAUGAAGGUCUGCGGAUCGUAAAACUCUGUUAUUAGGGAAGAACAAAUGUGUAAGUAACGAUGCACGUCUGGAGGGAACCAAAGCAGAAGGCCACGGCUAACUACGG
This 496-nucleotide ribosomal RNA is filed under the name uncultured bacterium. RNAcentral describes it as "partial 16S ribosomal RNA". It matches the Rfam family "Bacterial small subunit ribosomal RNA", at positions 28 to 506 of the family's 1533-position model. The record is from RNAcentral.